GAUGAAGAACGUAGCGAAAUGCGAUAAGUAAUGUGAAUUGCAGAAUUCAGUGAAUCAUCGAAUCUUUGAACGCACAUUGCGCCCGCCAGUAUUCUGGCGGGCAUGCCUGUCUGAGCGUCAUUUCAACCCUCAUGCCCCUAGGGCGUGGUGUUGGGGAUCGGCCAAAGCCCGCGAGGGACGGCCGGCCCCUAAAUCUAGUGGCGGACCCGUCGUGGCCUCCUCUGCGAAGUAGUGAUAUUCCGCAUCGGAGAGCGAUGAGCCCCUGCCGUUAAACCCCCAACUUUCCAAGGUUGACCUCAGAUCAGGUAGGAAUACCCGCUGAACUUAAGCAUAUCAAGAAGCGGAGGA
RNAcentral lists this unclassified non-coding RNA (348 nucleotides) under soil metagenome. RNAcentral describes it as "partial contains 5.8S ribosomal RNA, internal transcribed spacer 2, and large subunit ribosomal RNA". The stretch from base 1 to 120 matches the Rfam family "5.8S ribosomal RNA", at positions 35 to 154 of the family's 154-position model. The record is from RNAcentral.